Myotis myotis is the source of this 3466-nucleotide long non-coding RNA. RefSeq lists it as uncharacterized. The record is from RefSeq and is a predicted model, not a curated record. The transcript is spliced from 3 exons. Lineage: Eukaryota; Metazoa; Chordata; Mammalia; Chiroptera; Vespertilionidae.
AGUUGUUUAUCCCGGGGAGCCGGCAGCGGGAGGGGCAGUUAAUCUUCCCGUGCGCUCUCCGUGGGCGUGAGCCGGGGGUGAGGAGGGGACGCCCGGGCCGGGAGCUGGGUGGGCGCCUGUCUGUCGGGCACCGUGGCGUGGGAACUGCUUCCUAGGCCCGCGCCGUGAGCGGUGCAGACACCGAGCAUCUGCUUUGAGCCCGACCGGGAGCGUGUCCGGGGACCGCGCUGCUGGGACAGCGGCGACAUCAGCGGCCAGAGCGGAGAGCGGCCGGGCGUGAGGCCGCGGGGACCGGCGCGGGCGCAGCAGGCGGCGGUGUGGCUCCCGGGGCUCGGUUUGGCCGGACCUGGUGGGGGGAGCCCCACCAGGGUGAGCCUCUCCGCGGCGGUGACCGGACGGUACCCCCCUGAGAAAGGCGUGGCCGCGGCGCAGGAGGAGACCCUGGGGCAGGAAGGCAGGCGCCGUGAGCCGCCCUGAGGGGGGACACUGAAGGGGACACCCCACCCCUGCCAAUGAAGGUCCCCACCACCCAGUGUCGGUGAAGGAACAGGGGCCCCGGAAGAGCUCUCUGCUGGGAGGGGUGGACAUCGAGCACCCCCACUUUGGAAACUGUUUGGCAGCUCGUCAUCUCCUGAACCCACAAAUACCGAUGACCUGGCCACCCCCUGAGGUACACCCCGACAGCGUGGACACAGACAUGCAGGACAACGAGUUCCAGGCGCCCACAGGCAGGAGGGCAACAGCCACACGGGGAGCACGUGCCACCGGCCACCGAGGGACAGUGGGGAGGUGUGUCCGCUCGGCGAGCCCAGACCCCGGCCAAACCGACAGGCUGCUCUAUGCCCUCAACCUGAGGACCCUCGAGAAAGCAACAGUAAGAGACCCGGCCUCCGUGGCUCAGGGGUGAGCGUCGAUCUAUGAACCAGGAGGUCACAGUUCGAUUCCCAGUCAGGGCACGUGCCCGGGUUGUGGGCUUGAUCCCCAGUGGGGGGCGUGCAGGAGGCAGCUGGUCCAUGAUUCUCUCUCAUCACUGAUGUUUCUCUCUCCCUCUCCCUUCCUCUGGGCUUUUGUUUGUAUGAAACGCAAAGAGCAGCGAAGCUCGUCAGUGUGUCAGAGGCAUGGCCGUUGCCCUGAGGGGUGCGGGUGGGGGCCAGGGUCCUGGGCCGUGUGGUCAACCCAGUGGCGGUCCCGUGGGCAGGUUCAGCGUAGGCCGUGCCCUGCCACACGCCUCUCUGCGCUGAUCAGCAAGGUCACGGGGAGCGUCCGUGUGCGCUGGGCAGGGCCGGGCCUCACGGGGGAGGGAGAGGACCCCGCCAGGCCCCUGCACCGCCACCUCCCGGCGUGACGCCCUCCAGAGCCACGGGCUCAUGGACGGUGUGUGGCCCCCGAGGAAAACCAGCCCCAGACUGGCCGUGCCCACAGGCCAGCUCGCUUCCGGCUGCCGCACACGCGGGCCUCACACCACCCAACGCAGGCCUGUGUGCCAGCUUCCCGCCAGCCCGCAGCACCGCCUGCAUUCCCGGGUUGGCGUGACGGGAGCGGCCGCUCUGGCGCACAGCCUGCCCCGAGGGCCCUCCCUCUGCCCGGCCUGGCCCGGAGCCCGCGCGUCCCGUAACAGCAGCGGCGAUGGCUGAGGCCAUCGCGGCGCCAGCGCGGAUUUUGCCACACGGAGAAAAGUAACACGGAGUUACCUGUGACACAGCGAGGCCACUCCUAAGCAUGUGCCCAAGAGGAUGGAAAACAUACGUCCACAUGCGUGAGAUCGUCAGGGUGGCAUGAUUCAUACCGACCGGCCCGAAAGCUGAAAACAGCCCACACGGCCAUCAGAUGGUGAGUGGACAUUGAGGUUUCCGGGGCCUGUGGACACAGGUCACCAUGGCCCGGGGGCUUAAAUCAGCUGACACGUGUGUCCUGCAGCCAGAGUCUGAAAUGCAGCCGCUGGAAGGACCACAUCCUCCCUCUCGCCCUCCCUCCCUCCCUCUCUCACUCUCUCUCUGAAACCCCCUCUUCCAGCUGCUGGCGGGGGGUGAGCUGGCCGAACGUUUCUGGGCUUGUGGCUCCUGCCUCCACCUGCCUCCCGUGACUGUCUUCUCUCUGGUGUCCCCUGAGGACACACGUCACGGGGGCUCACUCCACAGGGGCCUGUUCGAGCCCAUUGCACCCGUGAGACCUCGGUUUCCGAAAAAGGUCACGGUCCCUGUUUGGGUUCGGCGCCCACGUACCGUGUUGGGAGGACUCAGCUCAACUCGGGACAGUGGACGGGCUGUUCCGCAGCGAUGAGUGGGAACGAUGCCGACACGUGUUGCGACGUGUGAAACCUGAAAGCAUGGCGCCAAGUGAGAGAAGCCGAAGGCCGAGGUCACGCUGCGGGGGUCCCUGUGGAGCCCCCGGAACAGGCACAUCCGUGGGGGCGGGAAGCCGGCUCAGGGGCUGGAGGGGGGAGGGCUGAGGAGGGGGCUCCCGGGAAUGCGUUUAUCUCUGGAGCAAUGAGAUGGUCAGGGGUUAGACAGUGGUAGGAGGUGAACAGCAGUGUGACUGCGCGAAAAGCCACGGAACCGUGCGCCUUAAAAGGGUGAACUGGUGGCCUGUCCAUUCUACCUCAACAGGGAAGGAGACCCUGUUCAAAGGAUGGAAAACAAGCUACCGGCCGGGAGGAACGCAAACCCCCAUUUACCCACAGACUCGGAUUCAGGAUAUAUUGUUUAAAAAGAACCUUAAAAACCAACAGUGAGCAGCAAUCCAACCAGGACACGAAGAGACGUUCACUGGAGAAGACAGAGCUGUGGACUGACCCGGGGAGAGAGCUCGCGCCGUCGGCCGCGGAGAAGUGAAGUCACAGCCACAGGAGGCAGCUCCGCACCCCGGCGGCUGUGACGGACGAACGGUGACCACGCCCGGCCGAGAGGUCCGCAGGCUGACGCUCUAUCCACUGAGCCACACCGGCCAGGGUGGCAGCAGCUUUCUUCAGAGCGGCCGUCCAUGGGAACAGCCCCGCGCCACGGCCUUCGAGGACACGGUCCCGCCCACAGCACGGACGCUGCUCAGCCGUCAGAGGGAGCGGAGCAGAGGAGCCGCCAGGGAACUGGGCUGUCGGGGAGCCAGUCUCAGAGGGUCCCUGCUCUAUGGUUCUAUGUCUAGAAUGUUCUUUAAGUGGUGGGGUACAGGAUGGAGGCGAGGACGGUUUCCAGGGAUGAGGAGUUGGGUGGGUGGGCUAUACAGGGGCAGCGUGAGGGGGAUCUCUGGGCCGCGAGGGGGCGGAUCAGUCCUGUGGCUCGACCAUGGUGAUGGUGACACAGAUCGACACAUGCAGUAAAUGACAUGAAACUACACACACGCCCUCGGCGGCGUGGCUCAGUGGAUAGGGCGUCGGCCUGCGGGGUGAAGGGUCCGGGUUGAUCCUGGUCAGGGCACAGGCCCCGGUUGUGGUCUCCAUCCCCAGUGGGGGGCGUGCAGGAGGCAGCCGAUC